GGCCUGGUAGCAUAUGGUAUGCAUCUGCCAUUGUUGAUGCUGCAGUUGAAUAUUAGCAGAGAACCCGGUUCGACUCCGGGCUGGGCCA
Molecule: non-coding RNA, 88 nt
Organism: Mycena leptocephala
Lineage: Eukaryota; Fungi; Basidiomycota; Agaricomycetes; Agaricales; Mycenaceae
Source: the annotation of a GenBank genome assembly